CCUACGGGAGGCAGCAGUGGGGAAUAUUGGACAAUGGGGGAAACCCUGAUCCAGCGACGCCGCGUGAGUGAAGAAGUAUCUCGGUACGUAAAGCUCUAUCAGCAGGAAAGAAAAUGACGGUACCUGACUAAGAAGCCCCGGCUAAUCACGGGCCAGCAGCCGCGGGAAUACGUAGGGGGCAAGCUUUAUCCGGAUUUACUGGGUGUAAAGGGAGCGUAGACGGGGCGUCAAGUCUGGAGUGAAAUGCCGCAGCUUAACUGCGGAACUGCAGUGGACACUGGCGAACUAGAGUGCGGGCGGGGUAAGCGGAAUUCGUAGUGUAGCGGUGAAAUGCGUAGAUAUUAGGAAGAACGCCGAUGGCGAAGGCAGCUUACUGGACCGUAACUGACGUUGAGGCUCGAAAGCGUGGGGAGCAAACAGGAUUAGAUACCCGGGUAGUC
This 440-nucleotide ribosomal RNA is filed under the name uncultured bacterium. Its description in RNAcentral is "partial 16S ribosomal RNA". It matches the Rfam family "Bacterial small subunit ribosomal RNA", at positions 338 to 795 of the family's 1533-position model. The record is from RNAcentral.